GUCUUUUUGAAUCUAUAUAUAAAGUCUAAUCUGCCCAUUGAUAUUUAUUUAACGGCCGCAGUAUUUUAACUGUGCAAAGGUAGCAUAGUCAUUAGUCUUUUAAUUGAAGGCUUGUAUGAAUGAUUGGACGAGAUAUAAGCUGUCUCAUAAAAAUUUAUUAUUGAAUUUAAUUUUUUAGUUAAAAAGCUAAAAUAAUUUUAAAAGACGAGAAGACCCUAUAGAUCUUUAUAUUUAAAUUUAUUAUUAUUUUUUGGUUUAAUUUUAUAAUAAUAAAAUAAAGUAUUUUGUUGGGGUGACAUUGAAAUUUAACAAACUUUCAAAAUUUAAAACCAUUAAUAUAUGAAUUGUUGAUCCUUUAUUAUUGAUUAAAAAUUUAAGUUACCUUAGGGAUAACAGCGUAAUUAUUUUGGAGAGUUCUUAUCGAUAAAAUAGAUUGCGACCUCGAUGUUGGAUUAAGAUUAAUUUUGGGUGUAGUAGUUCAAUAAAUUAAGUCUGUUCGACUUUUAAUUUCUU
RNAcentral lists this ribosomal RNA (513 nucleotides) under Sympycnus desoutteri. RNAcentral's name for it is "partial 16S ribosomal RNA". It matches the Rfam family "Bacterial large subunit ribosomal RNA", at positions 1819 to 2597 of the family's 2925-position model. Lineage: Eukaryota; Metazoa; Arthropoda; Insecta; Diptera; Dolichopodidae. The record is from RNAcentral.